AAAAAAACAAACCUUAUAUUUUCGUGUCCAACUUUGACUGUCCGUCUUGUAUGAAAUUUUUUUAUAAUUCUUUUAAAUAAAAAAAUAUUAUUAAUACUUUAUGUGUGACUUGUCUUUUUAAUUUUUUUCAUAUUUUUUUAAAAUAAGACGGACGGUCAAACGUUGGGCAUGGAAAUC
This 177-nucleotide microRNA precursor is filed under the name Oryza barthii. RNAcentral's name for it is "MIR812 microRNA precursor family". It matches the Rfam family "MIR812 microRNA precursor family". Lineage: Eukaryota; Viridiplantae; Streptophyta; Magnoliopsida; Poales; Poaceae. The record is from Rfam by way of RNAcentral.